This 565-nucleotide ribosomal RNA is filed under the name uncultured bacterium. Its description in RNAcentral is "bacterial SSU rRNA". It matches the Rfam family "Bacterial small subunit ribosomal RNA", at positions 338 to 916 of the family's 1533-position model. The record is from RNAcentral.
CCUACGGGAGGCAGCAGUGGGGAAUUUUCCGCAAUGGGCGAAAGCCUGACGGAGCAAUACCGCGUGAGGGAGGAAGGCUCUUGGGUCGUAAACCUCUUUUCUCAGGGAAGAAGAAAGUGACGGUACCUGAGGAAUAAGCAUCGGCUAACUCCGUGCCAGCAGCCGCGGUAAUACGGAGGAUGCAAGCGUUAUCCGGAAUGAUUGGGCGUAAAGGGUCCGCAGGUGGCUGUGUAAGUCUGCUGUUAAAGAGUCAUGCUUAACAUGAUAAGAGCAGUGGAAACUACAUAGCUAGAGUACGUUCGGGGCAGAGGGAAUUCCUGGUGUAGCGGUGAAAUGCGUAGAUAUCAGGAAGAACACCGGUGGCGAAAGCGCUCUGCUAGGCCGUAACUGACACUGAGGGACGAAAGCUAGGGGAGCGAAUGGGAUUAGAUACCCCAGUAGUCCUAGCCGUAAACGAUGGAUACUAGGCGUGGCUUGUAUCGACCCGAGCCGUGCCGUAGCUAACGCGUUAAGUAUCCCGCCUGGGGAGUACGCACGCAAGUGUGAAACUCAAAGGAAUUGACGG